GGUUGAUCCCGCCGGACCUGACUGCUAUCGGAUUGGUACUAAGCCAUGCGAGUCAUUGCAGCAAUGCAAGGCGGACGGCUCAGUAACACGUAGUCAAUCUACCUUAUGGACGUGGAUAACCUCGGGAAACUGAGAAUAAACCACGAUAGAUCAUUAUGCCUGGAAUGGCUUAUGGUCGAAACAGUUUACUGCCAUAGGAUGGGACUGCGGCCUAUCAGCUUGUUGGUGAGGUAAUGGCUCACCAAGGCUAUAACAGGUACGGGCUCUGAGAGGAGAAGCCCGGAGAUGGGUACUGAGACACGGACCCAGGCCCUAUGGGGCGCAGCAGGCGAGAAACCUUAGCAAUGUGCGAAAGCACGACUGGGUCAGUCCGAGUGAUUCCUGCUAAAGGAAUCUUUUGCUUGUCCUAAAAGCACAGGUGAAUAAGGGGUGGGCAAGUCUGGUGUCAGCCGCCGCGGUAAUACCAGCACCUCGAGUGGUCAGGACGUUUAUUGGGCCUAAAGCAUCCGUAGCCGGCUUUGCAAGUCUCCGGUUAAAUCCACCUGCUCAACAGAUGGGCCGCUGGAGAUACUACAGAGCUAGGGAGUGGGAGAGGCGGACGGUAUUCGGGGGGUAGGGGUAAAAUCCUCUGAUCCUCCGAGGACCACCAGUGGCGAAGGCGGCCUGCCAGAACACGUUCGACGGUGAGGGAUGAAAGCUGGGGGAGCAAACCGGAUUAGAUACCCGGGUAGUCCCAGCUGUAAACGAUGCAAACUCGGUGAUGCGUUGGCUUAUGGCCAACGCAGUGCCGCAGGGAAGCCGUUAAGUUCGCCGCCUGGGAAGUACGGCCGCAAGACUGAAACUUAAAGGAAUUGGCGGGGGAGCACCACAAGGGGUGAAGCCUGCGGUUCAAUUGGAGUCAACGCCGGGUUGGGGAAGCCGUUAAGUUCGCCGCCUGGGAAGUACGGCCGCAAGACU
RNAcentral lists this ribosomal RNA (957 nucleotides) under uncultured crenarchaeote. RNAcentral describes it as "bacterial SSU rRNA". It matches the Rfam family "Archaeal small subunit ribosomal RNA", at positions 6 to 977 of the family's 1478-position model. The record is from RNAcentral. Lineage: Archaea; Thermoproteati; Thermoproteota.